RNAcentral lists this small nucleolar RNA (78 nucleotides) under Nannospalax galili (Upper Galilee mountains blind mole rat). RNAcentral describes it as "Small nucleolar RNA SNORA24 (ENSNGAG00000007484.1)". It matches the Rfam family "Small nucleolar RNA SNORA24". From Rfam's summary of the family: ACA24 is a member of the H/ACA class of snoRNA that guide the sites of modification of uridines to pseudouridines. Lineage: Eukaryota; Metazoa; Chordata; Mammalia; Rodentia; Spalacidae. The record is from RNAcentral.
CUCCAUCUAUCUCUGGGGCCUGUCAGCUCUGGCAGUCUCCCUUCCUAGCCAUGAAAAAGCAUAAUCUUUCUUUAAUUU